This 301-nucleotide ribosomal RNA is filed under the name uncultured bacterium. RNAcentral describes it as "partial 16S ribosomal RNA". It matches the Rfam family "Bacterial small subunit ribosomal RNA", at positions 509 to 807 of the family's 1533-position model. The record is from RNAcentral.
CAGUAGCCGCGGGAAUACGGAGGGUGCAAGCGUUAUCCGGAUUCACUGGGUUUAAAGGGUGUGUAGGCGGGUCAUUAAGUCAGCGGUGAAAUCUCUGAGCUCAACUCAGAAACUGCCAUUGAUACUAUUGAUCUUGAAUAUCGUUGAGGUAGGCGGAAUAUGUCAUGUAGCGGUGAAAUGCUUAGAUAUGACAUAGAACACCGAUUGCGAAGGCAGCUUGCUAAACGAUUAUUGACGCUGAGGCACGAAAGCGUGGGGAUCAAACAGGAUUAGAUACCCCAGUAGUCCCUGUCUCUUAUAC